RNAcentral lists this long non-coding RNA (789 nucleotides) under Homo sapiens (human). Its description in RNAcentral is "non-protein coding LINC01372:4". The record is from RNAcentral. Lineage: Eukaryota; Metazoa; Chordata; Mammalia; Primates; Hominidae.
AUGAGCUGCAGCAAAGAAUGGCAAAUAACUUUUAUGCUUAACACAAUUUAAUAACCUGAAAUGAAGGUUUGGACAACAAAGCCCUCAGCAGGUGCUGACGGGUACAACUUCCUGGAGAAGCAGAAAGGCACUGAGAAAACAUCUUGCUCUGUUGCUCAGGCUGGAGCGCAAUGGUGCCAUCGUAGCUUACUGUAACCUUGAACGUCUGUGCUCAAGCAAUCUUCCUGCCUCAGCCUCCUGAGUAGCUGGGACUACAGAGACAGGGUCUUGUUCUAUUGUCCAAGCUGGUCUUGAAUUCCUGACCUCAAGCAAUCCUCCUGCCUCUGCCUCCCAAAGCACUGGGAUUAUUACAGGUAUGAGCCACCGCACUGGGCCGUCAUGCUUACUCUUCGGAGAGAGAAGUGAAGUAUCUGAACGCCUCAGCCUGAGAAUGGGUCAUUUGCAAAGUAAAUAAAGGCAAUGCCAAACGUCAGUACAACAAGCAAUUGAACAGAAUGAUUGCAAACUGCUAAUGAAGGAGAAGGCAAGGUGCGGUUAGGAUGAACUGUAGAAGGACCCGUCCCCUAGAGCUCAUUGAGCAUCCACCCUGCUGUCCGGCUGUCCUCUCCAUAGGGGGCUCGAUGGUCUUUGCCGACUUGAGGAAAUAGGUCACUGUAUUGCAGCAGAUCCUUGGUCGUGGGGCUGGGUUGGUCAUUGCCACUAUUUUAUGGGAUGGGGAAUUUGGAAGAUUAUGAAGUGUCAGCUGGUUGCCCUUGGACAUGCAGUGAGAGGGAGGAUUCUGUUUUGCUG